AUGCCGCAGCUGCAGUUUAUUUUACACAUCUCUCGUGUUUAGUUGGCAAUUUUCUUAUAAGAUAACUUCAAGUAACGCCGCUUGCGAGAUUUUUUUUAAUUGUUUAAAAUUCUUGAAAUUAAUAAAACGGUGUAAAAAUUGUUUUAAAAUAAGCUAGUGUCAUGCAAUAAUAAGUACAUCUUGAAAAUCUGAAAUUAUAAAUCAAGGCCUUAAAUAGGAAUCAAAAUCCAAAGCAAAAGUUUGCUACAUCAGUGCACAUAAAGGAACGUCAAACGAAUGUGUGUCGCAAAGACCGCUAAAAAGUGUAGAGCAUAGAACGCAAACGAAAUCGGAGUUCAAUAACAUAAAUUAUUUAAGAAAAAAAACAGCAGCGCAGAUUAUAAUUGCUGUGGUGUUCGAGUGUGUGCGGUUUCGAAUUGAGGCUGUGUUUGGGAUUUGUGCAUAAAUUCCACGUGAAUGUCUUCACAAUCGUCGACUCGUUACUUGCCAAUAACCACAACAAUGGAUAAUCCCGCUCUUUCAGGGUCCAGUGGUGAUGUGGAAGCCGACAGCAACUCCGUUGAAGCUAGUCUACCCGCCACCUGUUCGUCGCAGCAAUUAAUGCCUCCUCCAUCAGACACGGAUAGCGCUGUUUUACAACAGCCAUCCACCGGAAUCACGAAGACACAAUGGUUUACGGUGGUUGUGCUCUGCUUUGUUAAUCUAAUCAACUAUAUGGAUCGCUUUACCAUAGCAGGUGUUUUAACGGAUAUACAAGAUGACUUUAAAAUCGGUGACGAUGAUGGUGGUCUCCUACAAACCGCCUUUGUGCUCUCCUAUAUGAUUUGUGCUCCAGUAUUCGGCUAUCUCGGUGAUCGUUAUUCGCGUCGUUGGAUUAUGGCCACCGGUGUACUGCUAUGGUCCACAACAACGUUACUCGGCUCGUUUAUGGGUAGCUUCGGUAGCUUCAUUACAUUCCGUGCAUUGGUGGGCAUUGGUGAAGCUUCUUAUAGUACUAUAGCGCCUACAAUUAUAUCGGACUUAUUCGUACAUGACUUACGUUCGAAAAUGCUGGCGUUAUUCUAUUUUGCGAUACCUGUGGGUUCAGGAUUCGGUUAUAUCGUCGGCUCCGAGACCGCACGUUUGGCCAACGACUGGCGUUGGGCCUUGCGUGUCACACCUAUUCUUGGCAUUGUGGCUGUUGCGUUAAUACUAUUAACCAAAGAACCCGAGCGUGGUGAGAGCGAAGGCUCACACAAUUUGGAACCUACUAGCUACACUGAAGAUAUAAAGGACUUAAUGAAGAAUCAUUCAUUUAUGCUUUCGACAGCCGGUUUCACAUGCGUUGCCUUCGUAACGGGCGCUUUGGCUUGGUGGGGCCCGAAAUUCAUAUAUCUAGGCAUCAAGAUGCAGCCAGGCAAUGAGGAACUAUCGUUGAAUGACGUUUCGCUACGUUUUGGCAUUAUUACAAUGACAGCUGGUCUAAUUGGUGUACCGCUCGGACCGAUUUUGUCGCGUGCGGUUGCCAGUUACAAAAACAACGCCGAUCCCUUGGUGUGCGCUUUUGGAUUAUUUUUUAGCUCGCUUUUCCUUGCUGCCGCGAUGCUGUUUGUCACAAAAUACAUCAUAGCCUCGUAUAUUUUAAUGUUCAUCGGUCAAUUGUGUUUGAAUCUAAAUUGGGCACUUGUGGCUGAUAUUUUACUGUACGUUGUGGUGCCGACGCGCCGUUCCACUGCUGAAGCCUUCCAAAUUCUACUGUCACAUGCGUUGGGUGAUGCUGGUAGCCCUUAUUUCGUUGGCUUGCUUUCGGAAGGAAUCAAACGUCAUUUGCGCACCACUGCAACUCAAGCAGUUCAGACCAACGAAUUCAGUAUCUCCAUGCCUAGUAUGUCCUUGAGAUUGGAGAAUAACAGUGAUAAUAUUACUGACAGCUUACUGUCCGGAGAUGCUACAACGGCAGCGACAACGAAUCUCUUAGCGGAAGCUGCCAGUGCAGUGAUGGAGAAUAUCACUGACUUGGCUGCGAAUGCUACAAACUUUUUAUACCAAAAUGCCACUGACUUUGUCACGGAUGCAACGAAUAUGAUGCCAUUGAAUAGUACCCAUUUAAGUGACUAUUUCCUUGAUGAGAAAUUAUUGGGAGGGGAUAUUGAGGACACCGAUAGGACAAAAUUCAAAGCAUUGCAGUAUUCGCUGUUUUCUACGAGCUUCAUUGAAGUUUUGGGUGCCGUUUUCUUCUUUCUAACUGCCAUUUAUAUAUUGAAAGAUAAGCGACGAGCUGCGCAGGCAACACUUGCUAACGAACCAAACGAUAUUAGCUAUACAGCUAGAAUAUAUAAAGAAUUCGGUUUCGAAGAUUCUGAAUGUAUCGUCCUUUGCACUGAUAUUACACGUGAUCAGCGGGCAUAAGGAACAAAACAAUAAUUAGAAGCAAACGAAAAUUGGCGAAAAGUGUCUUUUUUUCUAAACUUCGUCGCUGGCAACCCAGCAUCUCAAGUGUGAAGUGCACUUCCAAUAAAUUAUACAAAUGAAUAAUGUAUAAGCCACUUAACCAACCAGCCAGUCAACCCACAAGCAAUUCAUGUAUAACAAUCACAUCCCAACUUUAUGCCGGAAUGUGUAGCGCGCAAGGCAAACAUAUGACUGAAAUAUUAGUUCUAACUAAUUAUUUAGUAGUAAUAAUGAUUAUUAUCAUAGAAUCAUGUGUGCCUCAAGAAGUGGGUGUGUUCCUAUUAGACGAGUGUGUAUGGAUGGAUGAUCAUGCAAACAUCACAUAUAAACAUAUUUAAAUACAUUUGUAUAUACAUAUAUUUAGAUAUUUAGUAAUAAACAUUGAUCAAUCAUUCUCAUUUGCAAUCGCUUAAACGUUAAGAUGAUUCCUAUUAUGUAGUUAUUUGUAUUAUAAUUUUGCUAUCGUCAAAAUGUCAUCAAUCAAUGGAUUGCGUGCACCACAUAAAAAUAGGCAUACAAAUAUGGUACUUGUACGUAGUACAGAGGUGUACCUGCGAAUAUGAAAAUUGCAUACUUACCAUUGCAUAAGCAUAGAAAUAGUGUAUACAUUAUGAUCAGGCAAAUGCUCUGUCGCAAAAUGGAAGUGCUGAAAUUAUAUAAACAAGACCAUACCAAUUCUUACACAAAACAUUAGUAAUUUGAUGGAAGAUAAAAAAGAUAGCAUGAAAUGUACAAGCACUCUAAUACUAAAUUUUGUUACGUAACUUGACGUUUAACGCAAUGAGAUAAAAUAUUUUGUUAUUUUUUAUGUUUUUUUUUUCAUGUUUUUGUUUUGUAAGUCAUUAAAUCAUAAAAUCGCUCAUUGCUCCCUGUGGUAUGCGCAUGCUAACUUUACAGAAAAUUCGAAAUGUUAAAAUUAGUUAUGAAGUAUUUAAUCCAUAUAGAUUUUAAGUGAAUUUUAUGUUAACUUUGACAUUGAGGUUUGUAAAAACAAAGGUGUUGUGUAUGCACCAAUUGCACACUAAUGUAGUUAGAAUGCUAAUUUUUAGAUAAAAUAAUAAUAAUUUCAAAAUAUACUAAGGGAAUAAGCGGUGAAUUACGAAAUGGGUGUGUACUACUACUACUAUUGUUUACAAUUCUUAGAUCUUCCAAAGCUCUUUUCAAGUUACAGUUGGCAUAUUAGAAUUUUUAAAACUCCUACUCAAUGAAAAUCCAAUGACAACAUAAUUAAAUGAACAAUCUAUUAUACAAAUACAUAUGCUUAAAUAGUUAAUUGAAAAAAAAAAAAAAAACAGAGUUGAAAUUUAUAAACUCACGUAUGCAUGCCCCUUCCCUAUACUAACCUCUCAAGCCCUUGGCCACAUUUGUAUGUGGUUGUUUAGUUUUCUAUAUAAUUAUAAAUAUUGUAAACAAUAAAAAGAACAAAAAUUUCAAAAUGGCUUAUUCUAUAUAGAGUCUCUCCUGCAACAUGAGGUAGACAAUUUUAUGAUUUUGCUGUACUGUUAACAUUAUUUUCGAUUUACAGUAAGAUAUAUGAAAAACAUAAAAUUGUCCCUGAAGAGGUUAAUGAAACUGUUAGUUUUAAAAGUUUGGCAAUGAAGCGGAAUUCAUGAAAUAAGACUGUAUUAGGGUUUGUUAUAUUUUUUUAAAAACAAAACAAAAUAUUGUAUUGAAUUAAACUUAUAUAUACAUAUUAGGAAAUACAUACAUAUAAAAGUAUUUAAGUAUAGCAUAAUUAUGGGGUUUAUUGAAUGCUAAUAAAUAUGGAAAAUAUAUUAAAAAUA
This is an RNA transcript of Anastrepha ludens (Mexican fruit fly), 4214 nucleotides long. It is a transcript of the gene named protein spinster, with no coding region annotated. The transcript is spliced from 9 exons. NCBI's taxonomy places the organism in Eukaryota, Metazoa, Arthropoda, Insecta, Diptera, Tephritidae. The record is from RefSeq and is a predicted model, not a curated record.